UUGCCCAGGCUGGCAUGCAGUGGCACGAUCUUGGCUCACCUCAACCUCUGCCUCCCAGGUUCAAGCGAUUCUCUUACCUCAGUCUCCUGAGUAGCUGUGAUUAUAGCUGUGUGCCACCACGCCCAGGCAAUUUUUGUAUUUUUAGUAGAGACAGGGUUGCACCAUGUUGGCCAGGCUGGUCUCGAACUCCUGGCCUCAAGCAAUCCACCCACCUCAGCCUCCCAGAGUGCUGGGAUUACAGGUGUGAGCUACCACGCCCAGCCUUGGAUUAUCUCAUUUAUUUUGAAUGUUUGCAAUAAUUUAUUUUCUUCAAGCAAAUUAGUUACCCCCAAAAAUAUCCUGCCUCCCAGACCUUUGCUCUGCCUGAUAGCAGCUGUCAAAAAGAUAAGAUCUUUCAAUGAAUUAAAGAAGGUGAAAGGCCAAUCCCCUCAACUCAUCUCGCUGUGAUUUACAUCAGUAUAAUUACAUCGUCUAUUGCUGUUGGAAAUUGACUAUACCUACGGGAAAUGCUACUGGUAUAAAGGAAGUUUCUUUUUUAAUCACUACAGAACACAGACCUGCAACUCUAUUUCUGGACCAAUCUCAUAUAUGUGCUUUGAAAUACACCGGACAAAAGGACACAGCCAAGGAGUGCAGCUUGCUUAUGUUAGCACAAAGCUGGAAACAAUCUGAAUACAAUUGUUAUAAAAAUAGUUAAUAACUUAUGAUACAGCAGCAUGCUGUGCAGCAGUAAAGAAUGAAGUUGAUCUAUAAUUCAGUGACACAAAAUUCUUCCAGACUUUACACAAUUUUUUUAAAAAGGCAAGUUGCAGAAUUAUAAGGCACAGCACAAAACUAUUGAG
RNAcentral lists this long non-coding RNA (842 nucleotides) under Homo sapiens (human). RNAcentral's name for it is "HSALNT0065096". Lineage: Eukaryota; Metazoa; Chordata; Mammalia; Primates; Hominidae. The record is from RNAcentral.